This 263-nucleotide ribosomal RNA is filed under the name Blastocystis sp. RNAcentral's name for it is "partial small subunit ribosomal RNA". It matches the Rfam family "Eukaryotic small subunit ribosomal RNA", at positions 22 to 292 of the family's 1831-position model. The record is from RNAcentral. Lineage: Eukaryota; Bigyra; Opalinata; Blastocystidae.
AGUCAUACGCUCGUCUCAAAGAUUAAGCCAUGCAUGUGUAAGUCUAAAUAGUUUUAGUGUGAAACUGCGAAGGGCUCAUUAUAUCAGUUAUAGUUUAUUUGGAAUAGUUUCUAUAUGGAUAACCGUAGUAAUUCUAGGGCUAAUACAUGUGUUUUCUUUGAUGGGCAACCAUUAAAGAAGUACUUAUUAGACAUAAAACCAAUUUAAUGGUGUUGUGAGUAAUAAUAAUUGUUGACUUUAUCGCAUGCUUGUUAGUAGCGAUG